Molecule: ribosomal RNA, 378 nt
Filed under: uncultured bacterium
Lineage: Bacteria
Description: partial 16S ribosomal RNA
Rfam family: Bacterial small subunit ribosomal RNA
Source: RNAcentral
CCUACGGGAGGCAGCAGUAGGGAAUAUUGCUCAAUGGGGGAAACCCUGAAGCAGCAACGCCGCGUGGAGGAGGAAGGUUUUAGGAUUGUAAACUCCUUUUGUUAGAGAAGAUUAUGACGGUAUCUAACUAAUAAGCACCGGCUAACUCCGUGCCAGCAGCCGCGGUAAUACGUAGGGGGCAAGCGUUACUCGGAAUCACUGGGGGUAAAGAGUGCGUAGACGGGGUAAUAAGUCAGAUGGGAAAGCCCGGGGCUCAACCACAGGACUGCAUUUGAAACUGUUAUUCGGGAGUGCUGGAGUGGUAAGCGGAAUGCCUGGGGGAGGGGUAAAAUGCGUAGAGAUUAAGAGGAACACCGGUUGCGAAGGCGGCCUGCUGGA